Molecule: transfer RNA, 71 nt
Filed under: Stegodyphus mimosarum
Lineage: Eukaryota; Metazoa; Arthropoda; Arachnida; Araneae; Eresidae
Rfam family: tRNA
About the family: Transfer RNA (tRNA) molecules are approximately 80 nucleotides in length. Their secondary structure includes four short double-helical elements and three loops (D, anti-codon, and T loops).
Source: Rfam by way of RNAcentral
GCCUUCGUGGUGUAACGGUGGCACACUUGGCUCGUAUUCGAGAGGUUUAAGUUCGAGUCCUGGCGAGAUCA